GCGAGGGAAAGGUGAAAAGCACCCCGGAGAGGGGAGUGAAAUAGGACCUGAAACCAUGCGCCUACAACACCGUGGGAGCCUGCCUUCGGGCGGGUGACCGCGUGCCUCUUGGAGUAUGAGCCAGCGAGUUACGGUCUGUGGCGAGGUUAAGGGAGCGACACCCGGAGCCGCAGCGAAAGCGAGUCUGAAAAGGGCGACAAGUCGCAGGCCGUAGACCCGAAACCGGGUGAUCUACCCAUGGGCAGG
Ribosomal RNA from Ardenticatena maritima, 246 nucleotides. It matches the Rfam family "Bacterial large subunit ribosomal RNA", at positions 503 to 744 of the family's 2925-position model. NCBI's taxonomy places the organism in Bacteria, Bacillati, Chloroflexota, Ardenticatenia, Ardenticatenales, Ardenticatenaceae. The record is from Rfam.